Molecule: long non-coding RNA, 5251 nt
Organism: Bos taurus (domestic cattle)
Lineage: Eukaryota; Metazoa; Chordata; Mammalia; Artiodactyla; Bovidae
Source: Ensembl
GAUCAAGGGUCAGCGAACACGCGAGUCUGGAGCCAGCCAGAAAGGAUGCCCUCUGCCCUCUGUCAGCUCUCCAAUCCCUUUAGCAAUACAUUGCUGGCUGCUGCUGCUAAGUCGCUUCAGUUGUGUCCGACUCUUUGUGACCCCAUGGACUGUAGCCCACUAGGCUCCUCUGUCUCCGGGAUUCUCCAGGCAAGAACACCGGAGUGGGUUGCCAUUUCCUUCUCCAAACAUAUUGCUGGAGGAUUCUCCCAACAAGCCCGCACUUGGGCUCAGCAGAAGGGAGUCCACCCACCCUUGGCACCAGACGUAGACGAUCUGCUGGCAACCAACAGUCAGGUGCCAACUCCGGCCGUGGCUGAACAAAGCACCUCGGGGCAUGCAAUCUGACCUCAUGACGGCCCACCCCAGUUGACUGGCAGUGCUGGAGAAGACUCUUGAGAGUCCCUUGGACAGCAAGGACAUCAAACCAGUCCAUCCUAAAGGAAAUCAACCCUGACUAUUCAUUGGAAGGACUGAUGAUGAAGCUGAAGCUCCAAUCCUUUGGCCACCUGAUGCAAAGAGCUGACUCAGUGGAAAGACCCUGAUGCUGGGAAAGAUUGAGGGCGGGAGAAGGGGACGACAGAGGAUGAGAUGGUUGGAUGGCAUCACCAACUCGAUGGACAUGAUUUUGAGCAAGCUUCAGGAGUUGGUGAUGGACAGGGAAGCCUGGCAUGCUGCAGUCCAUGGGGUCACAGAGAGUCUAACACGACUUAGCGACUGAAUAACAACAAGAAUGUUGACACUCGUGUGUGAGGAGGGAAGACCAAUGAAUCAGGCACAUGUUCACAGCUGCUCAUCACUGCACUCAGGACCAGACCGAAAGGAACAUCUGUUCUCACACAAAAGUCUCUCAUUCAUGAGAACCAGGAGUGACACACAGUUUUCAUCCUGAGACACACUCAUAACCGAGGGCGGUCACUCCUGGUCUAAGGCAUCGGGAGGUCAUCAGGGGCAGCGGUGUCCAACGUUUUGGGCACCAGACACCAGUUUCAUGGAAGACAGAUUUUCCAUGGAUCGGGGUCUGCAGAUGGGUUUGGGAUGAUUCAAGCAUGCUACAUUUAUCAAUCCCUGGGUCAUGAAGAUCCCCUGGAGGAAGAAAUGGCAACCCACGCCAGUAUUCUUGCCUGGGAAAUCCCAUGAACAGAGGAGCCUGGAAGGCCACAGUCCAUGGGGUAGCAAAGAGUCGGACACGACUGAACGACUUCACUUUAUUUCUCUUAUUAUGACAUGAGGUCCACUUCAGGUCAUCAGGCAUUAGAUCCUGGAAGCUGGGGACCCCCGGUCUAGCUGAAGAUCCUAUAGGCUGGGGACCUCCGAUCUGGGUGAAGUCACCCCGGUAGAGGUUUGCUUUUCCAACACUUUCCACAUCAACAGUUCAUACCGUGGAGGACACACCCACUGGCAGACAGCAAGAGAUCCCUGUGCAUGAAGGGAACUGAGGCUUGACAAGGUUGCAUGGCCUAAAGACACAGGAGCCAUCAGAACCAUCCGAUUACAAGCCUGGCCCGGUGUGUCCGUGAACUUUAUUUGCUCUGGAAAUUACUAGGGUGCUUUCACUAGCUGUCCCUUCCAUUUGCUCAAAAGUUAAUUUAAGAGAAUCUCCACCUUCCCUGAUAGCUCAGUUGGUAAAGAAUCUACCUGCAGUGCAGGAGACCCCGGGUUGAUCCCUGGGUCAGGAAGAUCCCAUGGAGAAGGGAAAGGCUACCUACUCCAGCAUUCUGGCCUAGAGAAUUCCAUGGACAGUCCACGGGGUCGCAAAGAGUCGGACACGACUGAGCAACUUUCACUUUCCCCCUGAAAAGACACUGAGUGUGUGUGUACGAGAGACACGCGGCCUGAACGAUCAAGUCUAGGACUCCCUUUCUCUACAGUAACGAUUAAAAUGAGGUCUACGCGUGCGUUGAUUGGCUGCUUGAAAGCCAAGAGAAGGAUUUCUUCCAAAACAGGCCACUGUGAACACAGAGGGGGAAGGAGAGGUUGGAACAGAGGGAGACGGUAGCAUUGAAACACACACGUUACCGUAUGUAAAACAGAUGUGUGCUCAGCUGCUCACUCAUGUCCGACUCUUUGCAACCCCAUGGACUGUUGCCCGCCAGGCUCCUCUGUCCAUGGGAUUGUCCAGGCAAGAAUACUGGAUUAGGAAGAUCCCCUGGAGAAGGGAAAGGCUACCCACUCCAGUAUUCUGGCCUGGAGAAUUCCACGGGGUUGCAAAGAGUCGGACACGACUGAGCGACUUUAGAAGAAAGCAUAUUCAGUGACACCAGUUACCACAAAAAAUAGCACGUGAGAAAUGACAAAGGCUUGAAGUAAAGCAGUGCCCAGAGGAACUGAGCCAGAUUCAGAUCUGGAAUAAACGACUGGAUUCAGAGGACAGAAGAAGGAGAACUGCAUUUCCUAAUUAGGCACACAAGGCAUUGGGGUGCCUCUGAUUCAGGCACCCGGAGAAUCCAGCUGGAAGUCUGCAACGUAUUCAAGUAAACUGGUGUUCAUGAGAAAUCUCACCUACGCACUCAUCUCCAGCGCUGCGGCAGGAGGUCAUCACAAACGCAGUGGCUUCGCACAAGUCAAAUUUAUUAUCUUACAGUUCUGAAGGCUAAAAGUCCAAGAUGGGUUUCACGAGGCCAACGAGAAGAUGUCUGCAGGAAUCCAGUACCUUCCGGAAGCUCGGCGCUAUGGACUGUAGCCCUCCCGGCUCCUCUGUCCAUGCAGAUUCUCCAGGCAAGAAUACUGGACCGAGUUGCCAUGCCCUCCUCCUCCAGGGGAUCUUCCCAACCCAGGGAUCGAACCUGCACCUCUUACGUCUCCUGCAUUGCCAGGUGGGUUCUUUACCACUAGCACCACCUGGGAAGCCCACCUUCUACAGCAGUGGUCCCCAACCUUUUUGGCACCUCGGAUGGGUUUCAUGAAAGAUAAUUUUUCCACAGACUGGCAGCAGGUGUCAGGGGGAUGGUUUGAGGAUGAAUCAAGCAUAUUACAUUUUAUUUCUUUAUUUCCUUUAUUAUUACAUCCUCUCUGUGCUGGCUUCCCUGAUGGCUCAGACGGUAAAGAAUCGCCUGCAAUGUGGGAGACCUGGGUUCGAUCCCUGAGUCGGGAAGAUCCCCUGGAGAAGGGCACGGCAACCCAUUCCAGUAUUCUGACCUGGAGAAUCCCAUGGACCAGAGGAGCCUGGUGGGCUCAGUCCAGGGGGUCACAAAGAGUCACACACAGCUGAAAGAGGUAGCUGUGAAGGUUUGGACAUCGGAUUUGACACUCCACAGUGCAGAGGCCAGAACAUGAAGCUGGGGUUUUCCAGCCCAAUGAGGGGACUGAGAACUGUCUCAGAGAUGAAUCUUCAGGGUGGAGAAGGAAGACAUGUCUGUGAAGAAAAGAAAGAAAAUGCAGCAGGAGGAGAAAAGGCAACCAGGAGAGAAUCACAAAAGUAAGACGUGGGUAAGGGGAAAGGUGUGAACCAUGGUUUCUGACUGGGCAAAAAGCUAUGCCUGAGAAACUCUUGACAUGUUGCAAUAGUGUACAAACAGCCCCGGAGGUAACAGGUUUAAUUCUGACCACAGCAAAGACACAUAAAACAUUGCUAUUUCUGUUUGAUAAUGUACAUUGUAUAAAACAUGGCAAACAUAUAUACAUGAUUUCACAUUUCUGUACACGUUUGAAUCUCGUCUGAAAUCCUCUACCCAUAAAUGGAGAGUCAGACUGAAGAGAGCUAUUCUAAGUAAGAAUUUUCCAUGGACUGUUAUGGCUGGAUGCAGUGAACUUGAAAUUAAAAAAAAAAAUCUCCUUGGUGGUUUCAUUUACAUUAAUGCGGUGCAUUCCUGUGAAAUGUCUGUAUCUACUGAUGAAUAAUCAACCCUUCUUAACUCUAACAAAAAGAUUUAUCACAGAAGGACCACAUCAGUGGGAGUUUGAGUUAGCAUGACUUUGGAGAGUAAUUUUUUGUCGUUCUGUAAGUUUGUUUUUAUCUCCCUUUCAGUAAGUCUUAAAAUAUUCAGUUAAUUUGAUAAUACUCUUUUUAAGAUGCAGUCUACAAACACACACACACAUACACACACACACACGGCUUCCCUUAUAGCUCAGCAGUAAAGAAUCCACCUCCAAUGCAGGAGACACGGGUUGGAUCCCUGGGUGGGGAAGAUCCCCUGGAGAAGGGAACAGCAACCCACUUCAGUAUUCUUGCCUGGGAAAUCCCAUGGACAGAGGAGACUGUUGGGCUACAGUUCAUGGGGUCACAAAGAGUCAGACACGACUGAAGCGACUAAGCAGAACUACAAAGGUAAAUCUUCUGGCCUAUUCACGAAUGGUUUCAGGAGAGACUGCAGGCAGAGAUGGCUGUCAGAAAGUCAGUGAGGCUCUUCUGGAGAGAGGCUCUAAGUCUGAGCUGGGACAUGGUGAACCAACUAGGAGCAGAUCAUACGAGACCCUAAGAAAUGGGAGAGGAGAGUUCUGAGGUUUUGAGAUGGGCCAGUGGCAAAGUAAACAAUUCAAACUGGAAAAAGAGGAAGCAGAGCUCUGUGGAGACACUGACCAGCCAGGUGGCCACUGGAAGACUCACAGAGCUUAAGGGGAGGACUGGAGAAGAGGGAGGUUUGAAAGCGAGGUUAGCUGCUGAGAUGCAAGUGCUUAUAGCAGAGACACACCUUUUUUUUUUUUGCUUCCUUUAUUGCCUCCCGAAAUAUUCCUCUAUUUUCCCCCAUGUUAAACUUUUUAUUUUGUAUUGAGGUAUAGCUGAUUAACAGUCUUGUGAUGAUUUCAGACAGACAACAAAGGCACUCAGCCAUACAUGGACACGUAUCUAUUCUCUCCCAAACUCCCCUCCCAUCCAGGCUGCCACAUGACACUGAGCAGAGUUCCCUGUGCUGUCCAGCAGGUCCUUGCUGGUUCUCCGUGUUAAAUACAGCAGUGUGUCCAUGUCCAUCCCAGACUCCCUGACUAUCCCUUCCCCCAUCCUUCCCCCUGGUGACCAUAAGGUUAUUACAGAGGAUUGAGCAGAGUUCCCUGUGCUGUCCAGCAGGUCCUUGCUGGUUCUCCAUGUGAAAUACAAUGGUGUGUACACGUCCAUCCCAAACUCUCUAACUAUAGUAUGGCAACCCUUAUAAGCAGAAUCUAAAAAGCAAUGGUAGAAAUGCACUGAUGUACAAACAAAUUCAGAAACAGAUUCACAAACUUAAAGAACGAACUCAAGGUUCCCACUUAAGGGGAAGGAUGCAGGGAAGAGACA